This 195-nucleotide non-coding RNA is filed under the name Fibrobacter sp. The record is from RNAcentral. Lineage: Bacteria; Pseudomonadati; Fibrobacterota; Fibrobacteria; Fibrobacterales; Fibrobacteraceae.
UGUGCCCUGAAAAGCUCUUGCAGGUGGCCCAGCCGGGCAGUUUGCAAGGAGAGAACCCCGUGAAAGCCGGGGGCGGUCGCGCCGCUGUAAGGGAGGACGAAACCGGCAUGAACCAAUGCGCGUGACCCGCGUGUGAAGGAGCCGGGAGUAGGUUGAUCCCCGAGCCAGAAGAACUGCGGGAAGCGUGAUGUUGAG